GGCCGUGUGGCUCAAUGGCAGAGCGUCUGACUACGAUUGCCGAUCUGCGUGUGCGGGUCAUGUGUUAUCAGAAGGUCGCAGGUUCGACCCCUGUCUCGGUCA
Claviceps purpurea 20.1 is the source of this 102-nucleotide transfer RNA. It matches the Rfam family "tRNA". Rfam says of the family: Transfer RNA (tRNA) molecules are approximately 80 nucleotides in length. Their secondary structure includes four short double-helical elements and three loops (D, anti-codon, and T loops). NCBI's taxonomy places the organism in Eukaryota, Fungi, Ascomycota, Sordariomycetes, Hypocreales, Clavicipitaceae. The record is from Rfam.